This 253-nucleotide ribosomal RNA is filed under the name uncultured bacterium. RNAcentral's name for it is "partial 16S ribosomal RNA". It matches the Rfam family "Bacterial small subunit ribosomal RNA", at positions 524 to 776 of the family's 1533-position model. The record is from RNAcentral.
UACAGAGGUCUCAAGCGUUGUUCGGAUUCAUUGGGCGUAAAGGGUGUGUAGGUGGCGCCGUAAGUCGGGUGUGAAAUUUCGGAGCUUAACUGCGAAACUGCAUUCGAUACUGCGGUGCUUGAGGACUGGAGAGGAGACUGGAAUUCAUGGUGUAGCAGUGAAAUGCGUAGAGAUCAUGAGGAAGACCAGUGGCGAAGGCGGGUCUCUGGACAGUUCCUGACACUGAGACACGAAGGCCAGGGGAGCAAACGGG